Nothoprocta perdicaria is the source of this 212-nucleotide long non-coding RNA. RefSeq lists it as uncharacterized. The transcript is spliced from 2 exons. The record is from RefSeq and is a predicted model, not a curated record. NCBI's taxonomy places the organism in Eukaryota, Metazoa, Chordata, Aves, Tinamiformes, Tinamidae.
AAAGCACCUUUACUUCCUAACACUAUAGAUGAAAAAAAAGGAGCAGCUAUGCUGAUUAAAGAAAUUAUUCUGUGUCUUGCUUCAACUGCUACAGUCACCAAGAAGAAAACCUUCCCAUUGUUUAUCUGCGUGAAGAUGCAGCACAAGAUCCUAAAAUAAACCUGGCAACUGAACAUGGGGGUACCUGAGAAAGGUAACGUGUGCCUAGGCCA